RNAcentral lists this ribosomal RNA (491 nucleotides) under uncultured bacterium. RNAcentral's name for it is "partial 16S ribosomal RNA". It matches the Rfam family "Bacterial small subunit ribosomal RNA", at positions 29 to 507 of the family's 1533-position model. The record is from RNAcentral.
GUGAACGCUGGCGGUAGGCCUAACACAUGCAAGUCGAACGGCAGCACAGUAAGAGCUUGCUCUUACGGGUGGCGAGUGGCGGACGGGUGAGGAAUACAUCGGAAUCUACUUUUUCGUGGGGGAUAACGUAGGGAAACUUACGCUAAUACCGCAUACGACCUACGGGUGAAAGCAGGGGAUCUUCGGACCUUGCGCGAUUGAAUGAGCCGAUGUCGGAUUAGCUAGUUGGCGGGGUAAAGGCCCACCAAGGCGACGAUCCGUAGCUGGUCUGAGAGGAUGAUCAGCCACACUGGAACUGAGACACGGUCCAGACUCCUGCGGGAGGCAGCAGUGGGGAAUAUUGGACGAUGGGGGCAAGCCUGAUCCAGCCAUACCGCGUGGGUGAAGAAGGCCUUCGGGUUGUAAAGCCCUUUUGUUGGGAAAGAAAAGCAGCAGGUUAAUACCCCGCUGUUCUGACGGUACCCAAAGAAGAAGCACCGGCUAACUUCGUG